Molecule: ribosomal RNA, 504 nt
Filed under: uncultured bacterium
Lineage: Bacteria
Description: partial 16S ribosomal RNA
Rfam family: Bacterial small subunit ribosomal RNA
Source: RNAcentral
AUUGAACGCUGGCGGCAGGCCUAACACAUGCAAGUCGAACGGUAGCACAGAGAGCUUGCUCUCGGGUGACGAGUGGCGGACGGGUGAGUAACGUCUGGGAAACUGCCCGAUGGAGGGGGAUAACUACUGGAAACGGUAGCUAAUACCGCAUAACGUCGCAAGACCAAAGUGGGGGACCUUCGGGCCUCACACCAUCGGAUGUGCCCAGAUGGGAUUAGCUAGUAGGUGGGGUAAUGGCUCACCUAGGCGACGAUCCCUAGCUGGUCUGAGAGGAUGAGCAACCACACUGGAACUGAGACACGGUCCAGACUCCUACGGGAGGCAGCAGUGGGGAAUAUUGCACAAUGGGCGCAAGCCUGAUGCAGCCAUGCCGCGUGUAUGAAGAAGGCCUUCGGGUUGUAAAGUACUUUCAGCGGGGAGGAAGGCGGUGAAGUUAAUAACUUCACCGAUUGACGUUACCCGCAGAAGAAGCACCGGCUAACUCCGUGCCAGCCGCCGCAGUAA